AACGAACGCUGGCGGCGUGCCUAACACAUGCAAGUCGAGCGAGAAAAGGACCUUCGGGUCCCUAGUAAAGCGGCGAACGGGUGAGUAACACGUGAGCAACGUGCCUAGGAGUGGGGGAUAACUACCCGAAAGGGUGGCUAAUACCGCAUAAGACCACAACUGCUUCGGCAGAAGGGGUCAAAGACUUCGGUCGCUCCUAGAUCGGCUCGCGGACCAUUAGGUAGUUGGUGAGGUAACGGCUCACCAAGCCCGAGAUGGUUAGCUGGUCUGAGAGGAUGAUCAGCCACACUGGGACUGAGACACGGCCCAGACUCCUACGGGAGGCAGCAGUGGGGAAUCUUGCGCAAUGGAGGAAACUCUGACGCAGCAACGCCGCGUGUGUGAUGAAGGCUUUCGGGUCGUAAAGCACUGUCAGGAGGGAAGAAUUUUGACGGUACCUCCAAAGGAAGCACCGGCUAACUCCG
This 464-nucleotide ribosomal RNA is filed under the name uncultured delta proteobacterium. RNAcentral describes it as "bacterial SSU rRNA". It matches the Rfam family "Bacterial small subunit ribosomal RNA", at positions 29 to 505 of the family's 1533-position model. The record is from RNAcentral. Lineage: Bacteria; Deltaproteobacteria.